This 939-nucleotide long non-coding RNA is filed under the name Dermacentor andersoni. Its description in RNAcentral is "uncharacterized LOC126542056". Lineage: Eukaryota; Metazoa; Arthropoda; Arachnida; Ixodida; Ixodidae. The record is from RNAcentral.
GCUAAAAUUUUGCACCAAACGUGAUUCCUGCAGGAGCUUGACUUGAUGGCUCCAAGCGACAACGUGAACAAGUGUGGCGUCUACAGGGGACACCAUCGGGUACGUGACACGUUAUUAUAGGUAUGAGCGCUUGGUCUUAUGCGUCAUCUUACAUGGAGUAUAGACAUGCAUCCGUGGUUUUUGGUAAGCGCCGAGGUUAAGCGGUGUGCGUGAACACGCACAAUAAGUUUUUUUUUUUUGCGUUGAACUUCCGUGUAUAGAGUUUACUACGGAGCUUGUCGUCUUUCGUCCAGAAGGCAAGACGACCUUUAUUCGCAAGAGGCCUUAGGGCCAUUCUGAAUGAAUCAAUAGGAUUCAUUCAUUCAUUGCUUCGUGCGCCUGUCGCUCGACCGUCGACAGCACAUGACGUAAGGCUAUUUCAGAAUGUUCUAGUUGUAGGAAAUUGGAUCUAGGUAAAUGGCUGGAAACUUGGAUUUUACGUCUGUUCGUUGGAACGUUGCGCGCCGUGAAUGAGCGAGACGGCCUUCAAACCGUGACCAACUGCGUGAGCGGUCGCUCGACCUGCCUGACCGCAGCUGGGCAAAGACGUGGACUGUCGCAACCACAUCCGCGUGGUGCAGCCGAUACGGGACGGAAGCACGCUCUACAUCUGCGGCACCAACGCCAGGGCGCCCACUGAUUGGCAAGUGCAGGCUGCAGACCUCACCCUGGUGCCGGUGGCCAACCAGGUGCCCGUACUGGGAGUCAACACAUCGAAUGAGGCGCAGGGUCGCUGCCCCAACUACCUCCACCAGAGCUCUCGGACGUUGUGGCUGGACGACGCGCCCACGAGUGGCAGCUCGUGCGUGGUGGCCCUGACCGUGCUGUCGACAGACCAGUACGGCUUCUUCCGGCUAACCCCGAGAGGAUUUCCGCUGCACUCCACGGACACGCGCGCCG